GCGGGUGUGGCGGAACUGGCAGACGCGCCAGACUUAGGAUCUGGUGGACUUCCGUGCAGGUUCAAGUCCUGUCACCCGCACCA
This 83-nucleotide transfer RNA is filed under the name Oscillospiraceae bacterium. RNAcentral's name for it is "tRNA-Leu". It matches the Rfam family "tRNA". Rfam says of the family: Transfer RNA (tRNA) molecules are approximately 80 nucleotides in length. Their secondary structure includes four short double-helical elements and three loops (D, anti-codon, and T loops). The record is from RNAcentral. Lineage: Bacteria; Bacillati; Bacillota; Clostridia; Eubacteriales; Oscillospiraceae.